GAUGAACGCUGGCGGCGUGCUUAACACAUGCAAGUCGAACGAUGAAGCCCAGCUUGCUGGGUGGAUUCGUGGCGAACGGGUGAGUAACACGUGAGUAACCUGCCCUUAACUCUGGGAUAAGCCUGGGAAACUGUGUCUAAUACCGGAUAGGAGCGUCCACCGCAUGGUGGGUGUUGGAAAGAUUUAUCGGUUUUGGAUGGACUCGCGGCCUAUCAGCUUGUUGGUGGGGUAAUGGCUCACCAAGGCGACGACGGGUAGCCGGCCUGAGAGGGUGACCGGCCACACUGGGACUGAGACACGGCCCAGACUCCUACGGGAGGCAGCAGUGGGGAAUAUUGCACAAUGGGCGCAAGCCUGAUGCAGCGACGCCGCGUGAGGGAUGACGGCCUUCGGGUUGUAAACCUCUUUCAGUAGGGAAGAAGCGAAAGUGACGGUACCUGCAGAAGAAGCACCGGCUAACUACGUG
RNAcentral lists this ribosomal RNA (466 nucleotides) under uncultured bacterium. RNAcentral's name for it is "partial 16S ribosomal RNA". It matches the Rfam family "Bacterial small subunit ribosomal RNA", at positions 28 to 507 of the family's 1533-position model. The record is from RNAcentral.